UUCCGGUUGAUCCCGCCGGACCUGACUGCUAUCGGAUUGAUACUAAGCCAUGCGAGUUUUUGUAGCAAUACAAGGCAGACGGCUCAGUAACACGUAGUCAAUCUAACCUAUGGACGAGGAUAACCUCGGGAAACUGAGAAUAAUACUCGAUAGAUCAUUAUGCCUGGAACGGUUUAUGGUUCAAAUGAAUUUCGCCAUAGGAUGGGACUGCGGUCUAUCAGCUUGCUGGUGAGGUAAUGGCCCACCAAGGCUAUUACAGAUACGGGCUCUGAGAGGAGAAGCCCGGAGAUGGGUACUGAGACACGGACCCAGGCCCUAUGGGGCGCAGCAGGCGAGAAAACUUUGCAAUGUGCGAAAGCACGACAAGGUUAAUCCGAGUGAUUCCUGCUAAAGGAAUCUUUUGUUUGUCAUAAAACCACUAAUGAAUAAGGGGUGGGCAAGUUCUGGUGUCAGCCGCCGCGGUAAAACCAGCACCUCAAGUGGUCAGGAUGAUUAUUGGGCCUAAAGCAUCCGUAGCCGGCUCUGCAAGUUUUCGGUUAAAUCCAUGUGCUCAACAUAUGGGCUGCCGGGAAUACUGCAAAGCUAGGGAGUGGGAGAGGUAGACGGUACUCCGUAGGAAGGGGUAAAAUCCUUUGAUCUAUGGAUGACCACCUGUGGCGAAGGCGGUCUACCAGAACAUGUUCGACGGUGAGGGAUGAAAGCUGGGGGAGCAAACCGGAUUAGAUACCCGGGUAGUCCCAGCUGUAAACUAUGCAAACUCAGUGAUGCAUUGGCUUGUGGCCAGUGCAGUGCCGCAGAGAAGUCGUUAAGUUUGCCGCCUGGGAAGUACGUACGCAAGUAUGAAACUUAAAGGAAUUGGCGGGGGAGCACCACAAGGGGUGAAGCCUGCGGUUCAAUUGGAUUCAACGCCGG
Molecule: ribosomal RNA, 912 nt
Filed under: uncultured archaeon
Lineage: Archaea
Description: bacterial SSU rRNA
Rfam family: Archaeal small subunit ribosomal RNA
Source: RNAcentral